Molecule: non-coding RNA, 71 nt
Organism: Phrynosoma platyrhinos (Desert horned lizard)
Lineage: Eukaryota; Metazoa; Chordata; Lepidosauria; Squamata; Phrynosomatidae
Source: the annotation of a GenBank genome assembly
GCCAGUGUGGUAUAGUCGUUUGAGUGUUGGACUAUGACUCUAGAGACCAGGGUUCAAUUCCCAACUUGGUU